This 747-nucleotide long non-coding RNA is filed under the name Chinchilla lanigera (long-tailed chinchilla). Its description in RNAcentral is "lncRNA (ENSCLAG00000026038.1)". Lineage: Eukaryota; Metazoa; Chordata; Mammalia; Rodentia; Chinchillidae. The record is from RNAcentral.
GUUUACUAAAUCUCCUCCAUCAUUUGGAUCUUAUUUCUCAUAACACACUGCAAGUCUAUGUCUCCUGCCACCAGAAGCAAGACAGUUGGACCCUUUACAAUCUUCCGCCAGUCAUGUGAGCUGUUCACCCAGGAAGCAGUAGAAAUUCUAAGACCCAAACAUAAAAUGUUAAAACCUUAUUGCUGUACUUUAUUUUUGUGUUUCCUGAUGUCAUACAGUGCCUUUUGGUGGAACUGUCUUGUUCUGUUUAAUUUCUGCCUUUGGCCUGGAAAUUAUAUGGGCAAUGUCACAAAGGUCACCUGGGAAACCACACACUCCUCUCCUUGGCUGACCUUGGGAGGAACCGGUUUCGCAAGUUCUUCUCCUUGGAAUUUUAAUCUCAGAUGAAGUCAGCUCCUCCCUUCAGCGUGAAGCUGCCCCUCUGCACGGGUGGCACACGCCCCUCACAUCUCCUCGCAGCUCUUUCGCGGUCCGUGUACGAUCCUGGAAGAGGACAGGAUGCUGCAGACAGCAACUUGCAGUCAAUUCAGUCACCUAACACUUCGUCCUGGACGCCAGCUGUAAGUCACCCUGGCUCCUUGCUCCUCUUUACCCUCUCUGUCUGCCCCGAGGAAGGCCAGAGUGGAAGGAGAUGCAAGGAGAGUGUCCUUUCUCAGUGUGUAUGCGGCUGCGUUGCAGCCCUUUCCCCACGGUGCUUCCCCGACAUCGCCCUGCGCCCCCUCAUCCUUCACAGGACACUCACUCUCC